This 406-nucleotide ribosomal RNA is filed under the name uncultured bacterium. RNAcentral describes it as "partial 16S ribosomal RNA". It matches the Rfam family "Bacterial small subunit ribosomal RNA", at positions 30 to 526 of the family's 1533-position model. The record is from RNAcentral.
AUUGAACGCUGGCGGCAGGCCUAACACAUGCAAGUCGAACGAGUGGCGGACGGGUGAGUAAUGUCUGGGAAACUGACUGAUGGAGGGGGAUAACUACUGGAAACGGUAGCUAAUACCGCAUACCAUCGGAUGUGCCCAGAUGGGAUUAGCUAGUAGGUGGGGUAAAGGCUCACCAAGGCGACGAUACCUAGCUGGUCUGAGAGGAUGAAAAGCCACACUGGAAAUGAAGCACAGUCCAGAAUCAUGAGGCAGGCAGCAGUGGGGAAUAUUUCACAAUGGAUGCAAGACUGACGCAGCAAUGCCGAGUGGAUAAAGAAGGCCUUCGGGUUGUAAAGUACUUUCAGCGGGGAGGCGUUACCCGCAGAGGAAGCACCGGCUAACUCCGUGACAGCAGCCGCGGUAAUUC